Molecule: ribosomal RNA, 372 nt
Filed under: uncultured organism
Description: partial 16S ribosomal RNA
Rfam family: Bacterial small subunit ribosomal RNA
Source: RNAcentral
GUAGGUGGCAAGCGUUGUCCGGAAUUAUUGGGCGUAAAGCGCGCGCAGGCGGUUCUUUAAGUCUGAUGUGAAAGCCCACGGGCUCAACCGUGGAGGGUCAUUGGAAACUGGAGAACUUGAGUACAGAAGAGGAAAGCGGAAUUCCACGUGUAGCGGUGAAAUGCGUAGAGAUGUGGAGGAACACCAGUGGCGAAGGCGGCUUUCUGGUCUGUAACUGACGCUGAGGCGCGAAAGCGUGGGGAGCAAACAGGAUUAGAUACCCUGGUAGUCCACGCCGUAAACGAUGAGUGCUAAGUGUAGGGGGUUUCCGCCCCUUAGUGCUGCAGCUAACGCAUUAAGCACUCCGCUUGGGGAGUACGGCCGCAAAGGCUG